UACGUAGGGGGCUAGCGUUGUCCGGAAUCAUUGGGCGUAAAGAGCGUGUAGGCGGUCCGGUAAGUCCGCUGUGAAAGUCGGGGGCUCAACCCUCGAAUGCCGGUGGAUACUGUCGAGCUCGAGUCCGGAAGAGGCGAGUGGAAUUCCUGGUGUAGCGGUGAAAUGCGCAGAUAUCAGGAGGAACACCAAUGGCGAAGGCAGCUCGCUGGGACGUGACUGACGCUGAGGUGCGAAAGCGUGGGGAGCAAACAGG
This 253-nucleotide ribosomal RNA is filed under the name uncultured bacterium. RNAcentral's name for it is "partial 16S ribosomal RNA". It matches the Rfam family "Bacterial small subunit ribosomal RNA", at positions 524 to 776 of the family's 1533-position model. The record is from RNAcentral.